CCUACGGGAGGCAGCAGUGGGGAAUAUUGGGCAAUGGGGGAAACCCUGACCCAGCGACGCCGCGUGAGGGAAGAAGGUUUUCGGAUUGUAAACCUCUGUUCUUGGUGAAGAGCGGAAGACGGUAACCAAGGAGGAAGCCCCGGCUAACUACGUGCCAGCAGCCGCGGUAAU
RNAcentral lists this ribosomal RNA (171 nucleotides) under uncultured bacterium. Its description in RNAcentral is "partial 16S ribosomal RNA". It matches the Rfam family "Bacterial small subunit ribosomal RNA", at positions 338 to 524 of the family's 1533-position model. The record is from RNAcentral.